UACGGGGGGAGCAAGCGUUGUUCGGAUUUACUGGGCGUAAAGGGCGCGUAGGCGGCCACUGCAAGUCAGUUGUGAAAUCUCCGGGCUUAACCCGGAAAGGUCAACUGAUACUGCAGGGCUAGAGUGCAGAAGGGGCAACUGGAAUUCUCGGUGUAGCGGUGAAAUGCGUAGACAUCGAGAGGAACACCUGCGGCGAAGGCGGGUUGCUGGGCUGACACUGACGCUGAGGCGCGAAAGCCAGGGGAGCGAACGGG
RNAcentral lists this ribosomal RNA (254 nucleotides) under uncultured bacterium. RNAcentral's name for it is "partial 16S ribosomal RNA". It matches the Rfam family "Bacterial small subunit ribosomal RNA", at positions 524 to 776 of the family's 1533-position model. The record is from RNAcentral.